RNAcentral lists this microRNA precursor (96 nucleotides) under Nicotiana sylvestris (wood tobacco). RNAcentral describes it as "MIR6152 microRNA precursor family". It matches the Rfam family "MIR6152 microRNA precursor family". Lineage: Eukaryota; Viridiplantae; Streptophyta; Magnoliopsida; Solanales; Solanaceae. RNAcentral also lists the same sequence under 1 other name. The record is from Rfam by way of RNAcentral.
UGGACAGAUUAUUGUAUUCGACUGUAUUCACGGCGUGAAACAGGGGAUUACACUAUUUUUAAACGGAAAGUGAAUCAAUUAACAUAAUAGACUCAU